Zea mays is the source of this 2241-nucleotide RNA transcript. It is a transcript of the gene named PX domain containing protein, with no coding region annotated. NCBI's taxonomy places the organism in Eukaryota, Viridiplantae, Streptophyta, Magnoliopsida, Poales, Poaceae. The transcript has 6 exons. The record is from RefSeq and is marked provisional.
AUAGCACGAAAUGGUUUUGCCUUCGCUUUUGCUUAUGCGUACGCGCGGCGAAUCACGGCGCCCACCUUCCAACCGGACUUGAGUCACUUGACUCCGCCGCGGGAUUCCCCGCCAGAUCUCAUUCUCGCCCCAACCCUAACCGCCGACGGUGGCCAUGAUGGCCACCGAGCCCUUGUCCCCGGGGAAUCUCGUCGAGGACGUCGAAACACUACCCCUGGACUCCUCCUCCACUCUCGCGGCUACGACGGACCCGCUGCUCCGCCCACCUCCCCCCUCGUCCACCUUCUCUCCCACCGCCGGUGAGAACCAUGGCGCGUUUCUGGACGAGGAGGAUGAGGACGUGGUGGAUGACUUCACGCCUCCGCUGGCUCCCCAUGCCGCUACGGCCGCGACGAAGUCCCGCGAGGCGUCACCGUGGUUCGCUGAGAUCACUGUCUCCGAGCCUAGGAAGCACGCGGAGCCCGCGACCGGAGCCGUGGGCGUCAUUCCCGGCUCGGCCAGCUACGUCUCCUACCUCAUCGCCACUCAGGUGCCCGACGGAGGCGAGUUCCGCGUGCGUCGGCGAUUCCGUGACGUCGUGGCGCUCGCCGACCGCCUCGCGGAGACCCACCGCGGCCUCUUUGUACCGGCGCGGCCCGACAAGAGCAUCGUCGAGGGCCAGGUCAUGCAGCGGCACGACUUCGUGAACCAGCGGUGCGUCACCCUCCAGCGCUACCUCCGCCGCCUCGCCGCGCACCCCGUCGUCGGCCGCAACCCCAUUCUCCACGCCUUCCUCACCGAGCCCAGCGGCAUCCCCACUUCCGACGGUGAGUCUCCCAGGUGGAGCCCUGCGAUGAGUGCUGCUACGUCCAUGGCUGCUUCCGCUCCAGUGACGCCUACCAAGAGUGGGAGAGACUUUUUUGGGGUGUUCAAGGGCCUGAAGCAGACAGUGACGAAUGGGUGGGUGGCGGUAAGGCCGCCUCUAGUGGAGGAGGAGAUUGACACAAAGUACCUUGUGCACAAGGCCAAGCUUGAGGACUUGGAGAAACAUCUGGUGACAGCAUCUCAGCAGGCAGAGGCAUUUGUUAAAGCUUUUGACGAUCUAAGAUCAACGACAGGUCUCUUGGGAAUGUCAUUCAUCAAACUGGCUAUGUUUGAAAAGGAGCAGGCUGCGUGUAGUUCUCAGAAAAGACGAGCUGCUGACAUCAGUAAUUUUGCCAGUGCUGUUAUUAGAGUUAGCAGAUCACAGACAAAACUAAACACUGAAAUUGUAAAACAUCUGGGUAUUAUCCAUGAGUACAUGGAGACAAUGGCUUCUGUUCAUAAUGCUUUUACUGAUCGUUCCAAUGCUUUGCUUCGUGUGCAAAAUUUGUCAGCAGAUCUAUAUUUCUUGCAUACCCGGGCAGGAAAACUUGAAUCUGUAUCAGCGAGAGGAAUGGAUCAGGAGAGAUCAAGGUAUCAAAAGAUAGAAGAAUUGAAAGAAACAGUAAGAGCCACGGAAGAUGCAAAAACACGUGCACUUAAAGAAUUGGAACUUAUCAAGGUGAAUACAAAAAUAUUGGUAUGCUGUAUGCAUUACACCAUCAGGAAGGGCAGGUCUGGUGUAAUGGUGAGAGCUGAGAGCUGUCUCAUUGAGUCACCAGGUCGUGGGUUCGAAGCAGCCUCUCCUCAUUUGUGGGGGGACUGGGGGAGGCUUGCCUCGGUUUAUCCCUUUCCCAAACCCUACUCAUGUGGGAGUCUCUGGCACUGGGUCUACCCUUUUUUAUUGCCCCAUCAGCAUUUAUGUUUCAACUCACUGUCAAACACUGUUUUGUCCAGAGUUUUGAACCAUAGGAAAAUAACAUGAAUGAAAUUAAAAGAUUUAACAAGGAAAGGCGCCAGGAUUUGGUGGAGAUGCUAAAAGGCUUUGUAUUGGAUCAGGCCACAUACUCGGAUCAUUUUGCUACCAUAUGGACAAAGGUAGCAGAAGAAACAAAAGGAUAUGCAAACAGCAGCAGUUGAAGUAGGAUGUACAUAUUCAGGUGAAUUUGAGCUGUUACUGUGCAGCGUGAAUAGCUACACUCAUUGAGAAUCAUGCGACUGGCUUAUACACAAACAGGACCACACUCUUCAUUCCCGAAGGAUACAUUUCUAUGGAUUUUUCUGGGGAUUGGUAUCUCAAGUUGUGUACCUGAAUUUUUUCAGAAAAUAUAGCAAUACCAUUUUCCACGGCUUCGUUUCCGCAGCCUUGGCUUCAUACAGGGUUUACAUUUUCGUUUUGUA